RNAcentral lists this long non-coding RNA (13634 nucleotides) under Ananas comosus (pineapple). Its description in RNAcentral is "long non-coding RNA (ACOM_LNC026437)". The record is from RNAcentral. Lineage: Eukaryota; Viridiplantae; Streptophyta; Magnoliopsida; Poales; Bromeliaceae.
UAUUUACAAUGUUAUUUUGAACAAUUUAGAGAUUGCUGGAGAUAUAUAUAUAUAUGUGACAAUAAUGUUUCCGCAUAAUAUAUCAUGGAGUGAAAUAUUUCACAUAAAUUUGUACCAAAGAGGCGGAACGCUCCCAACUGAAAUUUCUGGGAAGCCCAGUCCAAGAAUGCCAUCAAACUUCGCCACCAGAAAAGUGAGACUCGAUUCUCGCGUCGUCUCAAUAAAAACCUGGAGUAUGAAAAGAUACAAUAACAGCAGCUCGCAAACUGCAGCAUAAAUUUGAAAGAAUGGGGCUCACCUGAUCUUUAAUCAGAAGAUCCCCAACUAGCACAUGGUCUUGGCUGAAGAAGCCGGAGAUCGUCCCGGAACCGUAAGUAAUUUUACAUGAUUCUCCUGUAAAGCGGAAAAAGAAGCUAGAAAUGUCAAAGUAUUCGCUCUUCAGAUACAGGACCGUUGCAUAAACGUCAUAAUCAUAUGGUAAAAAUGUCCGGAACGAAUCUGAACUAUGGACCAUUUUGAAUUCGGCUACCUAGCUUUUCAAAAUUUGCCUUUCAAUAUGUUUGAUUUGAGUCGGUUAGCAGUAUUUUGAGUUCAAAAUUUAAGCUAAAUACUUACUUUAACGAAUUUAUAGCUGCGAGAAUUACAUGAAGUAUACUGACUAAACCUGAAGUCAAAAUGUCGUUGACUAACCCAAAUCAAACAAAAUGAAAAGUUGGGUAGUAAAAUCAAAAUGGUCUAUAAUUCAGAUAAGUUCUGUACAUUUUCACCUUCUAAUAUUAAUAAAUCAAAACAAAAGAAAAAAUAGACGACUUCCAACCAAAUAAGAACUUAUUCUACUGGCGAAAUUACUCGCGCCAUCACAAAGAGAUCGAGAGCUCGAAUCGACAGUAACAAGAUAAUGGGAGGUUCAUUGUUCUGGCUACACAGAUCGAAUCCAUGAACAAGUCUGUCGCAAAAUGCCAUUAUCUGAUCAAGGAUAGCAAGCAAUGGAAUACGACGCCUUACCGUUCUUCGUGUAAGAGCUUGAUUUGCUAGCCUUGAACUUGUGGUGGAAAAGGCAAGCAAUCUGCGAAGUAGUUGCUCUCAAAGUUAUAUUUCUUUUCCAUACGCAUCCAAACGGAAGUGGUAAAAAGGAAGGUAAAAAUGCAGAAACCCUUGAACUACAACACAUUUUGGUAUGAGGAUGAAACUUCAAAAAAUAAAUUUUCAUUUUCCUACCAAACCUUGCAGGUAUUUUGAUCUAAGAAGCUCUUCGUAAAACAUUAAAUUCUAGCCAAAUUUGACGGAAUUUUCUCGAAUUCGAACAACAAUUGUAAGCUUCGGCAGCGAAAUGAAAGUAUACAGAUAUCCAUUUUAAAAGUGCGCUAUAGUUCAGGUAAGAUCUGUACGUUUUCGCGUAAAAAUGGAACAUGUUUUGUACUUUGAAAAGAGAACUUACUGAGAAAUAGCACUUCGACGACGGUACCCACAAAUUAGAACUCCCGGUGUCGAAAAUAACGGUGAAAUUCUGCGGCGGAGUGCCGAUGCCGAUUUCUCCAAAGUAUUGAGCAUCAAGAUAGUUCUUAAGAGGCACAAUGUCGACAUCCGAACCACCAAAAUCACUGCCGUAUUUAAUGCGAUUUUGCUCUCUCCUCGCAUAUCUUGCCGCACUCAGGGUUUCGACAUCCAAAGCUAUCUUCUUCACAUUGAUUCUGAGGAGCCCAUCAGAGGCGGCAUCGAGAAGCAACGAGCACGACAAAGUCCACAAACAUAUACUGAACCAAAGAAGUUUCUGUUCCAUCGUCGCAGAAGCGACUGCAGGAACGAAAUGAAUCGAAUGAGAGGAAAUUUAGAUAUGCAGAAGAACGAGAAAAUGGCUUUAAUGCUGAGAAUUUAAAUAAGAAUUAGGAAUCUACACACAUAUGAUAAUUAAUUAGAAUAAUAAUAUAAAGGAUAAUAAAAAUGAUAUUGGAUAAUACUAUUCAAAAACAUCAUGUUAUAAUUCCUGUCUCUGUUAAAUGCUUAGGUAGCAACUACCCCCUAUCAAUCAAGCAAUAAAGGGUGUGUUUGUUUGAUUUCCGAGAAAAUUGUGAUUUUUCACCAGAAAAGUUUUCCGCGGAAAACACCUUUUCCAUAGUUUUUUUAUUUUCUGGAAAAAAAAUCCGGAAAACGAAAAGGAGACUUCUCCAUGAAAUCUGGAAACAAGAAAAAUUUCGAGGAAAAUUACUUUUCCAUCCAUAAAACUAUUUGUUUCUGGUUUUUCUUUUUUUUUUUUUUUUUUGUAUUUCCUGGGGAACCAAACACCACCCCCUAAGAUAAAUCGAUAAAUCACAUGGCCCAUGACAAAUUACAAACAAAAUAUAGAAUACAACCCACACAAAAAAAGACAAACACUUAUAUGAGUUAAAAUGGAAAAGGAGAUGAUCAUUUCUAACAAACCCCUUCAAAAGAUACUCAAGAAGAAUAACAAAUAAGAGAUUACUAUCUAUAAGUAAAAAGCAUAUAUAUAGUGGAUGAUUUGGGAACAACUUUGACUGCUAAUAAUCAAACAAACAGAUUCAAUUCCAGCAAGUAAUAGCACCUACUUUGCAGACAAGUUAUUACAAAUUUAAAAAAUAUAUAUCCUAACAAGUGUGUGUGUGUGUGUGUGUAUGUGUGUGUGUGAGAGAGAGAGAGAAAGAGAGAGAGAGAGAGAUUACAUAUCCUAACAAGUGAUCAAAAAUAACAUGUGGGCUCAACUCACACCUUACCUUAGAGAGAGAGAGAGAGAGAGACUAUGUAUGUAAACAAGUGAUUAUUAAGAGAGAAUAAAAAGAAAAGAACAUGUGGGUGUGGUUCCAAAAUCCAAAGCAAGAGGAUCAGCUCAAACCUUUUGGUUUACUGAGAUACCAAGGAAGAGAGAGAGAGAGAGAGAGAGAGAGAGAGGUGGUGGGAAGUCAAAAGGGGAUGAUGGAUGAGAUAAAAUUAAGCAAUAAAGAUAAAUUAAAAAAGGGAAGAAAUCAGUGGAAGGGCAAAGAAGGUUAGCUGCACCAGUCAGGCAAUAAAGAUGGGACCAGGGAAAGAGACAGCAGCUUCUGGAAAUUCAACUGCAAAUUUCUUAUUUCUUAUUUCUUAUUUCUUAUGAUGAUUUUGAUGAUGAUUAUGAUGAUAUUUACUAGGGUAAAUUGUACUUAUUGUUAUGUAACAAUUUAAUUUUCAAACUAUAAUUUAUUAUAAUUUUUAAUUUAAAUGUUUUAAAUUAUUAUAAUUAAAUUUUGAUAUUUUAUUGAUGCUAUAUUGAUACAACAUCGAAGUAAUUAUCCCGUUAUUGAUUACGGUACUAUUAUAGUAGUACUACAUUACUGACAUAUUAUUAUUUAAUAAAUAAUUUUUAAAAAUUGAGUUAGAUAUUAUAAUAAAUUAAAAUUUGAAAAUAAAAAUGCCACGAGGUGAGAACGAAAAGUGCAAUUUAGCUGUAAAUAUACGUAUAAUCCCUUUAAAGAAUGGUGUUUUAUUACUGAAAAAUGUUACUUGUAUAUUCAAAAAUUAAGUAUAAAUUUUAUAUCCAACUCACCAAGAAUUUUAGACAAUUCUUUUGGCAAGGCUAGUAUUAAAGAGACUCGUGAAGUGUAAUAUUUACAUUUAUUUUUGUACAUAUCAAAAGUAUGAGUAAAGCUGGUAUACUUUUAGAAGCACGUAGCUCUCCGUGCUUUCAAGUUAUUUUUAAUAUUGGGACUUUUAAAUCAACAAUCAGCUCCGUUAGACUUGAUUUAGAAUAUUUAAAGUACUUACAAAUAAAUUUCAUAAUUUUUUUAUAUCAUUUGCCUAGUGAUCGAAAGAGGUCAAAAUCAACGUCUGAAAAUAAAAAUGGUACAAAAUAUGAUGAUAUGGCAUUAAAAUUUUGGAAAAACUUCAAAAACCCCCCCUGGUUUCGUUGUUUCUCACUUUAGUACCAUGUGGUUUAAAGUGUAUCAAUUUGCCCCCCUGUGGUUUCGUUUUUAUCUUUUCGGUAGUUUUUUCGUUAAUAUUUCAUUAAAUUAUAUACAAAAAACUUCAGAUACCCAUCUAGAUUUAUCAAAUAUUCACUUUAGUACCCUUUAAUUUUAACUUUAUUACUGAUUUAAGAAAAAAAAAUUAAUGAAAUUGACGAAAAAGAGAAAAAAGAAACAACAGGGGAGCAAAUUGAUACAUUUUAAACCACAGGGCGGCAAAGUGAGAAACGACGAAACCACAGGGGGGGUUUUUGAAGUUUUUCCUAAAAUUUUAGAUCAAAAAUAUUGAUCUUAUUUUAUAUAGUAUAAAAUAUUUUUUAUUAAAAUUUCACGUGAUUUGAAUACUUCUAUACAGUUAAACUUGCAAAUGGCUCACCACGACCAUUAAAAUUACUAAUUUUAAGCCCCUUCUAACACUAGGCAAGUGAUAUCAAAAAAUCACGAAAUUUAUUUUCGAUUACUUGAAAUACUCUAAAUCAAGUCUAACGGAGCUGUUCGUGGAUUCGAAAGUUCCAGCAUAGAAAACUAUUUGAUAGCAGGGAGGGCUUCGUACUUCUAAAAGUAUACCAGCCUCACACACACACACACACACACUCUCUCUCUCUCUCUCUCUCUCUCUCUCUCUCUCUCUCUCUCUAUAUAUAUAUAUAUAUUAAUUUAACCCAUUUUUUAAUAUGGGUGGCAUUUCACAUCAUUAGGCUAAUGUGUUCAGUGGGAUGCAUCUUAAUUAAAUGUAGCCAUUAGCCAUUGACAUUAGAGAACACAUGUUUAUAAUUUCUAAGAUAGCUUGUGAAUGCAACUAUUGACCAUUUUAGAUGAUUGAAAAGCAAACAAAACUGCUAUAGGAGAGAAGUUGAGAAACUAAUAGAAAGAUUUAACAUAAAAAUUAAUAAGGGACCAUUUUCACCAUAAAUUUUUUGGAUAAACUUCAAUUUGCCCUCUUACAGUCUAGAAACCCAUGAUUUAAUUUGUUAUUAUUGGUUUCUCAACACAACUGUUUGAUUGCUUUUGCUUCAGUAUGAGAUUUGAUUCUCUUAUCAGUAGUAAAGGCUCAUUUGCUUUAAGGGGUUGCGUGGUUGGAUGUAAUUACAAAUGCAAUGUAGUUCAAAAUAUAUGCAGUUAAAAAUAUAAUAGUUAUAAUUAUAUAAAUCUUGUUUGGUUGAUUGUAGUAAAAGGUGCAAAAACUAUACAUACUUUGUUUGGUUAUAUAUGUACGGCUGACAAGUGUAGUUGUAAAAUUUUAUCAUUUUAUAUAUGGAUGGUAUGAUUACUCCAUGUAUAUAAAAAUAUUUUUAUUUGAAAAAUUAUAAGGAGGGAAGUUUAGCUUUAUUUCAUACUAGUAAAAUACCCGCGCGAUGCUGCGGAUAUAAAAAUAUUUUUAUAAUAAAUUUUACUUUUUUUAAUAUUUUUAUAUAGUUUUAUAAGUCUAAUUAUUAAUUAAAUAAAAGUUAUAUAAAAAUAAUUUAAUAGUUAAAUAUAUUUAAAUAUAAGUCAUUAAAAUUGAUAUAUGCGCAAAGUAAAUUUAUACAACAAUUUAUUUGAUAAAGAUACAUAUGAAAAGGAUUUGAGAUAAAUCUAUCAAAAUAAUUUAAAAAAAAAUCAAUAAAUAGAAGGAAAAUAAAAUUGUAAAAGAAAUUGUUUAAUAAAAUUAAUUAUAUAUACAGAAAAAUACACUAUAUUUCUAAAAUUUUACUCCUGAAAUUUAAAUAUUAUAUUUUUUUUAUAUAAUGAUAUUUUACGUGAUUUAAAUUGCAUCUAUCAGGUUAGAUUUUAUUACGUGAUUUAUUAUGCAUAUUAUUAAUAAAAUUUGGAAAUAAAUAUUAUAAGUUAAAAUUAAAAUUUAGAAUUUAAAAUAUAAAAUUUAAAAUUUAAAAAUUUAAAAUUUAAAAGUAUCAAAAUUUUAAAAUUUGAUAUCAAAAUUUAAUUACUUAUAAGCUGUUAUACAAUUUAUUAAUAUAAUUAAUUAAUUAUAUAUUAUAUAUAUGUGUGUGAGAGAAAGAAUGAAGUGGAGGGUUGGGGGACAGGUGUCACCCUGAGGUUCCCCCAAUUAUAUUGUUUUAUAAGUCUAAUUAUUAAUUUAAUAAAAGUUAUAUAAAAAUAAUUUAAUAGUUAAAUCUAUUUAAAUAAAAGUCAUUAAAAUUGGUAUAUGCGCAAAAGAAAUUUAUACAACAAUUUAUUUUAUAAAAAUUUAUAUGAAAAGUAUAUGAGAUAAAUCUAUCAAAAUAAUUUUUAAAAAAUUAAUAAAUAGAAGAAAAAUAAAAUUGUAGAAGAACUUGUUUAAUAAACUUAAUUAUAUAUAUACACAUAUACACUAUAUUUCUAAAAUUUUAGUCCUGAAAUUUAAAUUUUGUAUUUUUUUAUAUAACGAUAUUUUACGUGAUUUAAAUUGCAUCUAUCAGGUUAGAUUUUAUUAUGCAAUUUAUUACGCAUAUUAUUAAUACAAUUAAUUAAAUAUAAUAUAUUUAAUUAAUUGUGCAUAAAAUUAAGAUUUGAAAGUAUCAAAAUUUAAAAUUUCGUAUUAUAUAUAUUUUUAUUAUAUAUAUAGAGGGAAAGAGCGAGUAAAGGAGGGUUUGGGAGGACACGUGUCACCCUUUGGUUCCCCAAAACCCUCCUUAAAUAUAGUAAAUUAAUUAAUUAAUUUUAUAGAGUUUAGAGAUUUAAAAUUUUAAAAUUUUAAAAUUUGAAGUUUAUAAUUUAGAAAUAAAUAUUAUGAGUUAAAAUUGAAAUUUAGAAUUUAAAAUAUAAAAUAUAAAAUUUGAUAUUUAUAACUUUAAAAUUUGAAAGUAUAAAAAUUUAAAAUUUCGUAUUAUAUACUCAAUUCAAAAAAAUUAUAGUUGAGGGGCUAUCUAUAUAUCUUUAUCUACAUUAAAACAAAUGAUACUAUUUGGUGCACCAGGUGUAUAAGUAAAUUUUACACACUUUAUUUUUAAAUAUUUGAUAUAAAAAUCUAACUCUGAUAAUUUUUUAUAUAGGGGCAUUUUAUAUAGUAUAGAUCGCAUUUAUAAAAUUAUAUUUUAAUUUAAUAAUAUUAAUCAUUAAAAAUUAAGAUUAGUGUAUAUAAUAUUUAUAGUCCGGGCGUAGGCAAAGUUUUUAAUAAAUGAGAAGUGGGUUGGGAAGAAAUUAUUUCAUGCACCGGGUGUAUAUUUAUAUGUUAAACACUAUAUUGAUAAGUCCAUAUUGUUGGAACUUAAACCCUAUAAUAUUUUGUACAAAAAUUUAUUAUAUAGUGUAAAUAUAUCCAUUAAAUUAUAUUUUAAUUUUAAAUUUUAAAUUUAAAAAAUAGAUUUGGUGUAUGUUAUAUUUGUGUAGACCGGGUGCAUGCAAAUUUUAAAAGAGAGAGGAAAGCUUGAGGAGGACACGUGUCACCUCCUAACCACUUUGAGGUGACCUAACUCUUCUUUAAUGUAGUAGUAUAGAUAUAGAUAUAGAUAGAAGUAUAGAUAUAGAUAUAGAUAGAUAUAGAUAUAGAUAUAGAUAUAGAUUAUUGUCUCCAAUUGCUGCAAUUGGAAUUGUCUCCUCGUACAGUGGUGCAAUUUGAACUGCAACAGUUAAAUUCAAAUGCAUAAAAUCAAAUAGCCAAUUUAAAUUUUCAAACAGUUAUUACUACAGUACAGUUAUAACUACGUACAAUCAAAUAGUCUCUACUUUAGUAAUUAAGCGGGUUUGAGUCAGAAACGGAUCGAUCGGCGUAACUCGUGGACGACCCGCUUAAUAUUAAACCUCAACACACUUUUAUAACAUGUGCACAGCAUGUAGUUCUAAAACUUUCUUUGCUUACUUUUUAAGUGACUCUAUCUUGUAUUUUAAACAACCAAUGAAGUUAAGGACUAAAUUGAAACAAUAAAAUAAAAUAAAAUAAAAUAAAAUAAAUUUCCAAUACACCUUUCCCCUUGUUAUUCUAUAUCAUCUAAACAAACAAAUUUUUUUUUCCUUCAUCAUGGUUUAGCUUAGGGAUGUUAACGGCCGGAUUCGGGGCAGAUUUUUAAAAAUCCGAACUCGAAUCUAACUCCAAACCCAAACUCGACAAAUUUUAAAAAUUCAUAUCCAAAUCCGAACUCGACCAAAAAUUCGAAAUCCGAACCAGAAAAUUUGAACUUGAAAUAAUUAUUUCUCUUUUCAAUAUUUCAAAAUAUAUUACAUUAAAUUUAAAAUUUUGAAAUAUAAGUUCAUAUAUAUAUAUAUAUAUAUAUAUAUAUAGAAUUUAGCUCCUAUGUUUUUAAAAGUAGCAUGACAUAGGUGCUUAUAAAUUUUUAGCCUUUGGAUUAAGAAUUGUGUGGUUAGGAUGAUGUGGGCCCCUUAGGGUUGAGUGGGUGGUUGGUUGAAUAGUAUAAUCUAACGGGUGUAAAUGGUCAACGGUGCAGAUCUAAUGGCUAAAAACCUACAAGCAUCAUGUGCUUGGUGCUUUUAAAAGCACCAUAGCUGAACUCUCUAUAUAUAUAUAUAUAUAAAGAGAGUAAAGCUAUGCGGGAAUACUAUUGAUAGCAAAAAGUUCUUUUUGCUAUAAAGUAUUUAACCCUCAUUGGAUGAGAAAUUGUAGGGUUAGGAUGAUAUUAGUCCCUUAGGGUUGAGUGGCUCCCACUGGGUUAUAAUAUUUAAUCCAAUGGUUAGAAAUGAUGAAAGGAAUUGAUCCAAAGGCUAAAAACUUGAUAGGCAUUUUGCUAUCAAUAGUAUUCUAGCCCAACUCUAUAUAUAUAAUUGAGCUCCUAAUCUUUUAAAAGUACUAAGUUAUUGGUGCUUAUAGAUUUUUAGUCAUUGGAUUAAGGGAUGUGCAGUUAGGAUGAUAUGGGAUCUUUAUGAGUGGGUGGUUGGUUGAAUAGUAUGAUCAAAUAGGUAAAAAUGAUCAAAGGGGUAUAUUUAACGGUAAAAAAUUUACGAGUACGAAGUGCUUCGUGCUUUUACAAGCACCAUAGCUAGAUUCUCUCUCUCUCUCUCUCUCUCUCUCUCUCUCUCUCUAUAUAUAUAUAUAUAUUAUAUAAUGUAAAAUAAAUUCGGGUUUGGGCUUGGUACAGUCAAAAUCUAUGUCCGAAUCUAUAUUUAUCGGAAUUUUUUUUUGAUAUCCAUAUUCGAAACCAUAUCCGUUUAACAUUAAAUAAAUUCGCUCUAUUUAGGUUCGAAUUGGGAUAAAAUUUCAGAUAUCCGUACACACCCACAUCCCUAAUUUAGGUGCAUGCCUUUCGUGCUUUUGCCUUGUCUCUCUCACCUGAUUGAUCUUACAUCAAAGGAAGAAGUCAAACAACUUAGCAGUUUUAAGAGAUAGCCGAAACCACAGUCAAAGGAGCCAAACUGCAGGCAUCAAUUGCUAAAACUUCUCUUUUUGUGAGGUGAUUGUGCUCGGAAUCCCCUCGGGGAAGUCGCCUUUUCUGACCAGUUGAGCUCUUUAGGAUUGUGUGUGCUUUUUUUGAUGUAAAUUCUAAACUAUUUUUUUGUUUGAGUUUUGACUGACAGUAAAAUUAUGAUAAAUUAUACAAUAGAAUAUAAACAUUUACAGUCGAAAACUACUUCACCGGAUCUCAACUUUCUUUUGAUGAAACAAACAGAAACAGAGCUCCGGCAUAACAAACUUGCCCUUGGACGGCUAGAGAGAGUGAAGGGGGCAACGGAGGAGAGAUAAAUUAAUAUUUAAUUAUUUUUGAACUUUUGGUAGGCUGAAGCUAAUUAUGUCAUUUUGAAAUGUUUGAGCUUCAACUGAUGUUAAAAAUAAACAUUUACAGCCGAAAAUUAUUUUGUCUCCUCUCAACUUUCUUUCGAUGAAACAAACAGAAACACCCUUAAAAGCUCGGAUAAAAUUUUAAUGGGAAGUUUUCCAAUGAUGUCUCAUUGUGGGAACCUCCGAUCCGCUGCCACGUGUUAGUUUUGUCUCAAUCCAAUAGUUUGUUGGGUACUUUUUAAUACUAAAAUCUAUAAAAAAAAAUUUAAACCCUGGAGAGAAAUAUUAUAAUGCUUGGAUAGAGAUAAAAGUGACGGUGAUAAUGAAUUUUAUGAGGCUUCGUAAUGAACGUCAUUGGAGAGCUUCCUCCUGAAGUGUUUUUUUAAAAAUUUUUAAAGCCUGAAGGGAAGGAUUGUAACCCUUGGAUAAAAGAUAAAAAAAAAAUAAUAAUAAUAACCCUUGUUAAAGAGAAGGAUUAUAAUGCUUGGUUAGAAAUAAAAAUGACACGUGGUAAUGGAUUAAGACUUCUUAACAAAAUGUUGUUUGAGAGAUCUCUGCUGAAGUUUUUCUUUCCAAAUUUUAAAUCCUAAAAAAAUGAUUAUAGCCCUUCAACAGAGAUAAAAAUGACAUGAGACAACAGAUCGAGACUCCUUAAUAAAAAAACAUCGUUGGGACCUUCCCACUGAAGGGUUUCUACACCCGAGAGCUGCAGCAAAACAAACUUGCUCUUGAGCAUCUAGAAAGAGAGAGUGAGAGCAAGGGGAGAUACAGGAGAGAAAGGCUUUGGUUGGACUAAAGCCAAUUAUGCUAUUUAAAAAAACUAAAUUACAAAAAACCUUCUUAUAAUUAUCUAUUUUUUCACCUUUUCCUCCAACUUUCAAAAGCCUAUAUUUCACCCCCUCAACAUUUCUAGUUAUUAUAUUUUUAGCCUUUUUCCGUCAGGAUUUUAUUACUAUUUCGUCCAUAUCUUAUAAUUUAUGCCGAAAAUAUCCUUCAAAAUAAUAUAAAUAUAUUAUUAAUUUUUUGUUUGUAAAAGAAUUAAGGGUGAUUUAGUCAUUUUGCCCACUCCAUUAAUACCGUACUUUUCUAAAAAUAUUUUUAAAAAUUUAAGAGAACAGAACAUAAAUUUUUAAAAAAAAUCAGAAAGAAAAAAAAAAGUAAGGGUGAUUUGGUAAUUAAACAAAUAAUAUAAAUAUAUUAAAAAAUUAUUUUUUUAAUAAAAGAAAUAAGAGUGAUUUGGUUAUUUUAUUAUCCCCAUUAAUGUCGUACCGCACCGCACUAAAAAUAUUUUUUAAAUUUUAAAAAUACAAAACAUAAAUUUUUAAAAAUUAGGAAAAAAAGUAUUUACAAGAGAAUUUUCUAUAUUUUAGCCUUUAAAAAAUUUAGGAAAAACUUUAAAACCAUUCAUAUGGUUUCGUACUUUCUUACUUUAGUAUCCUGUGAUUUCAUUUCUUUUUUUUUUUUAUUAUCCCUUCACUAACUUUUUCAUUAAAUCAAUAAUAAAGUUAAAACUAAAGGGUACUAAAAUGAAUAUUCGAUAAACUAUAGAUCGGUUAUCUAAGAAUUUUUUGUAUAUGAUUUAACGAAAAGUUAACGGAGGGACCGACGAAAAACAAAAAAAAACUACAAAAUACUAAAUUGAUACACUUUAAAUCUUAAAAAUACUAAAAUAAAAAAAAUACAAAACAACGUAUUUGUGAAGUUUCAAUAGAAAUUUAAAACUAGACAGCAAAAGUAGAUAUUUACGAUGAAAAUUCAUUUCCAACUUUCGCACUUUUCACCGACCGUCCCUAAAUGAUAUUCAAGAUACAUAAUGUGGUCCACAAAAGACAUUAUGGUCACCGACCGUCUCUAGCGCAAGUGGCAAAAGGUUUGAUGGUUGGUAUCNUGAUAUUCAAGAUACAUAAUGUGGUCCACAAAAGACAUUAUGGUCACCGACCGUCUCUAGCGCAAGUGGCAAAAGGUUUGAUGGUUGGUAUCCAAGAUUCUAAAUUCGAAUAUUAGUUGAUUUAUAUUUUCAGCUAAGUUUAAUUCUAAAUGAAAUAAACAAAACGACUAGCAACUAUCUAUCUCUUUUAAAAAAAAUUAAAAUAAAAUAAAACUUUAGCACUUUUCCUUUGGGCGGCGAUUGAGAGACAGAGAGAGAGAAAGAGGGUUGGGGAUUAGAGAGAGAGAGUAGAGAGUAGAGGAGAGGAGGGGGUGGUCAGUGGUGCCUGCAGGCUGCAGGCGAUCGAUGAUGGUGGGCCGGCUGCGGUGGGCGACGAGGGAGGGGGGAGGAGGGAGGUGGGAGGCGGACGCGGAGACGGCGGCGACGAUGGAGGGGACGGCGCGCGCCGUGCCGGGGGACCCGCUCCCGCUGGGCCUNAGAAAUAUUAUAAUGCUUGGAUAGAGAUAAAAGUGACGGUGAUAAUGAAUUUUAUGAGGCUUCGUAAUGAACGUCAUUGGAGAGCUUCCUCCUGAAGUAUUUUUUUCAAAAUUUUUAAAGCCUGAAGGGAAGGAUUGUAACCCUUGGAUAAAAGAUAAAAAAAAAUAAUAAUAAAUAACCCUUACUAAAGAGAAGGAUUAUAAUGCUUGGUUAGAGAUAAAAAUUAACCCUUAACAAAAUAUUGUUGGAGAGAUCUCUGCUGAAGUUUUUCUUUCCAAAUUUUAAAUCCUAAAAAAAUGAUUAUAGCCCUUCAACAGAGAUAAAAAUGACACGAGACAACAGAUCGCGACUCCUUAAUAAAAAAACAUCGUUGGGAGCUUCCCACUGAAGGGUUUCUACACCCGAGAGCUCCAGCGAAACAAACUUGCUCUUGAGCAUCUAGAAAGAGGGAGUGAGAGCAAGGGGAGAUACAGGAGAGAAAGGCUUUGGUUGGACUAAAGCCAAUUAUGCUAUUUAAAAAAACUAAAUUACAGAAAACCCUCUUAUAAUUAGCUGUUUUUUUACUUUUUCCUCCAACUUUCAAAAGCCUGUAUUCCACCCCCUCAACAUUUCAAGUUAUUAUAUUUUUAGCCUUUUUCCGUCAGGGUUCCAUUACUAUUUCAUCCAUAUCUUAUAAUUUAUGCCGAAAAUAUCCUUCAAAAUAAUAUAAAUAUAUUAUUAAUUUUUUGUUUGUAAAAGAAUUAAGGAUGAUUUAGUCAUUUUGCCCACUCCAUUAAUACCGUACUUUUCUAAAAAUAUUUUUAAAAAUUUAAGAGAACAGAAUAUAAAUUUUUUAAAAAAACCAAAAAGAAAAAAAAAGUAAGGGUGAUUUGGUAAUUAAACGAAUAAUAUAAAUAUAUUAAAAAAUUAUUUUUUUAAUAAAAAAAGUAAGAGUGAUUUGGUUAUUUUAUUAUCCCAUUAAUGUCGUACCGCACCGCGCUAAAAAUAUUUUUGAAAUUUUAAAAAUACAAAACAUAAAUUUUUAAAAAUUAGAAAAAAAAUAAAAAUAUAAGUAUUUACAAGAGAAUUUUCUAUAUUUUAGCCUUUAAAAUAUUUAGGAAAAACUUUAAAUACCAUCCAUAUGGUUUCACACUUUCUCACUUUAGUAUCCUGUGGUUUCAUUUCUUUUUUUUUAUUAUCCCUUCACUAACUUUUUCAUUAAAUCAAUAAUAAAGUUAAAACUAAAUGGUACUAAAAUAAAUAUUCGAUAAACUAUAGAUUGGUUAUCUAAGAAUUUUUUGUAUAUGAUUUAACGAAAAGUUAACGGAGGGACUGAGGAAAAACAAAAAAAAAUCACAAAAUACUAAAUUGAUACACUUUAAAUUAUAAAAUACUAAAAUAAAAAAAAAUACAAAACUACGUAUUUGUGAAGUUUACAUAGAAAUUUAAAACUAGACAGCAAAAGUAGAUACUUACGAUGAAAAAUCAUUUCCAACUUUCGCACUGUUCACUGACCGUCCCUAGCGCAAGUGGUAAAAGGUUUGAUGGUUGGUAUUCAAGAUUCUAAAUUCGAAUAUUAGUUGGUUCAUAUUUUCAGCUAAGUUUAAUUCUAAAUGAAAUAAACGAAACGAGUAGCAAAAUAUCUAUCUUUUUUAAAAAAUAAAAUAAAAUAAAACUUUUGCACUUUUCCUUU